RNAcentral lists this ribosomal RNA (465 nucleotides) under uncultured bacterium. RNAcentral describes it as "partial 16S ribosomal RNA". It matches the Rfam family "Bacterial small subunit ribosomal RNA", at positions 338 to 795 of the family's 1533-position model. The record is from RNAcentral.
CCUACGGGAGGCUGCAGUAGGGAAUCUUCCACAAUGGGCGAACGCCUGAUGGAGCCAAGCCGCGUGGGUGAAGAAGGUCUUCGGAUCGUAAAACCCUGUUGUUAGAGAAGAAAGUGCGUGCGAGUAACUGUUCACGUUUCGACGGUAUCUAACCAGCAAGCCCCGGCUAACUACGUGCCAGCAGCCGCGGUAAUACGGAGGUGGCAAGCGUUAUCCGGAUUUAUUGGGAGUAAAGGGAACGCAGGCGGUCUUUUAAGUCUGAUGUGAAAGCCUUCGGCUUAACCGGAGUAGUGCAUUGGAAACUGGGAGACUUGAGUGCAGAAGAGGAGAGUGGAACUCGAGGUGUAGCGGUGAAAUGCGUAGAUAUAUGGAAGAACACCAGUGGCGAAAGCGGCUCACUGGUCUGUAACUGACGCUGAGGUUCGAAAGCGUGGGUAGCAAACAGGAUUAGAUACCCCAGUAGUC